This 504-nucleotide ribosomal RNA is filed under the name uncultured bacterium. RNAcentral's name for it is "partial 16S ribosomal RNA". It matches the Rfam family "Bacterial small subunit ribosomal RNA", at positions 28 to 506 of the family's 1533-position model. The record is from RNAcentral.
GACGAACGCUGGCGGCGUGCCUAAUACAUGCAAGUAGAACGCACAGUUUAUACCGUAGCUUGCUACACCAUAGACUGUGAGUUGCGAACGGGUGAGUAACGCGUAGGUAACCUGCCUGGUAGCGGGGGAUAACUAUUGGAAACGAUAGCUAAUACCGCAUAAUAUUAAUUAUUGCAUGAUAAUUAAUUGAAAGGUGCAAUUGCACCACUACCAGAUGGACCUGCGUUGUAUUAGCUAGUAGGUGAGGUAACGGCUCACCUAGGCGACGAUACAUAGCCGACCUGAGAGGGUGAUCGGCCACACUGGGACUGAGACACGGCCCAGACUCCUACGGGAGGCAGCAGUAGGGAAUCUUCGGCAAUGGACGAAAGUCUGACCGAGCAACGCCGCGUGAGUGAAGAAGGUUUUCGGAUCGUAAAGCUCUGUUGUAAGAGAAGAACGGGUGUGAGAGUGGAAAGUUCACACUGUGACGGGAUCUUACCAGAAAGGGACGGCUAACUACGU